RNAcentral lists this ribosomal RNA (618 nucleotides) under Triticum aestivum (bread wheat). Its description in RNAcentral is "partial small subunit ribosomal RNA". Lineage: Eukaryota; Viridiplantae; Streptophyta; Magnoliopsida; Poales; Poaceae. The record is from RNAcentral.
AUGGCAAAGUUAAUGGUCCAAAUGGUGGCACAUCUUGGCUUCCUGGUGUCCCCCACCACCACCACCGGGUUUUUCUGGAAGAAGGAGGUGAGGAUCUACUCCCGGGCUGCCACCCUUGAUUUCAUUGAUGUUUCUGUUGAAGAGGACAAUGGGGAUGUGUGGAGGUUAACUGGGAUUUAUGGCGAACCAAGCUGGGAUAACAAGACUCGCAUGUACCAGUUACUACGAGAUCUUCACACCCAAUCCAGGUUGCCAUGGGUUGUGAUCGGUGAUUUUAAUGAGAUCCUUCUCUCCUCAGAGAAGGACGGAGAAGACUUGGGGUAUGAGGAUGAUGUUUUCACGUGGUUCCGUGGGGGACUGCGGGAAUGGCUAGACCGUGCAGUGUCAAAUGCAGAAUGGAUGAGGCUACAUCCGUGGGCAGGCCUAUGCAACUUGGAGCGAGAACAUACACCAUCCUAUGGAAGAAAAUUUGAGGCAAGGUGGCUAGCUGAGGAGACUGUGGAGGAGAUUGUAAAAAAGCGUGGCAAAAGGCUGCCGCUCGUAACAUUGGACCGGGCGUGGGCGCUAAACUUUCUGCGGUGCACCAGGAUAUGCACACCUGGGACCGAAGGGUGUUGA